Molecule: long non-coding RNA, 1636 nt
Organism: Andrographis paniculata
Lineage: Eukaryota; Viridiplantae; Streptophyta; Magnoliopsida; Lamiales; Acanthaceae
Exons: 3
Source: RefSeq, a predicted model, not a curated record
AAAAAAAAAACAAACAAACAAAAAAUGACAAUAUUUAACAUAGAUAAGUUCACCAAGUGUCUGUCAUGGGCCACUCUCAACACAUCACAAUCUUCACCCAUCAAAUUUGACUUGUCACUCCCUAUAACAAAGUUCUCCUCACCUCCUUCAUAGUUUUCACAACCCCCAAACUUUUUGGUCACCAACUUCCCUAAUGGAUGCAGAAAUCGACAACACAUUACUACAUGACUUCAAAUGCCCCCUUAUGAUGAAAUAGAGGCAAACCAUGUGUGCCCAGCAAUCCAAUCACUGCUGAAAUAACUUGUGAGACAGACACCAAAGAAAAACUUAUCUAAUCACCCAAACUCUUCAUAAGUUCCUAACAAGCACCAAUAUCUUGUAGGAGAAUAACUUGAUAGAAUUGGAAAGAACAGUGGAGCCCUCAUGGCCAAAACUGGUUGAACCACUGGAGAAGAUCACAGACAGGCUAGCGGUCGUGUGGUGGCCAUCUUAGCUCUGUGAAAGACUCUCCUCAGCUAAGAGCUGCAAUUGAAGAAAUCCAGCCGAAGCAGACUGAAUUCGAGCUGAAGUUAAGGCAGAGCAGGACCAUUUAUGAAUGGUUUAAAAGCUCUUAGAGAAUCAUCAAGCUGGGAAAGCUUGAGUGAAGCAAAGAAAAGAGUUGUGGAGUGUGAGUUUGUCAAAGUAGCCAAAAGUCUAUAUUAUAGAAUACUCAAAUUUUAAAUAUCCUAAUGAAAGCCUGACACAGUCAAGCUGAAAGAAGCUGGUUCCCAUGGAGUUUCCUUUGAGCAUGGUUCAAGAGAGCGUUUUAAUGAGAUAGAGCAGGUACUUUGGAUAGAAUGAUAAUUUUAAUUUGCACUAAAUGAUAGUCCAUUUCCCUAAUUCUGUGCAUUGGGAAUUGGGAAAACUUGCUCAAAUUUUUGAAGAGAACAUUUUAGAUGCUACAGUUUGAGAAAGUCAUCACAGAGACAAAAAAGAAAUCGAGGAUGUGCCUUUUACAACCUUGGAAAUAACUGCAGAGAGUACAGUUCUUAAGGUGCUACAUUUUUAGCAAUUUCUAUUUUUCCCUAAAAAUUGAUUUCCUCCCAUUUUCCUUCUCUCUAACAACUGGCCCUUGGAUUAUAACGGGCCCGAACUAUCACUCUAUAUUGCAACAUCAAUGCAACAGAUCGUUAAGGGAGGAAUUUUUCCGUGCAUACAUCGCAGGCGCAUCAGAUGAGGUCCUAAACAAUGCACUAAUCAUUGAACGCAUUUUGGCACUUAGGCAGGAGAAAGCAAAGCUUCUUGGCUAUAGAAACUAUACUGAGGUCAGCUUUGAGACUAAAAUGGCAACCCUGGAUAAGGCAAAGGAUCUUAUAGAGAAGCUUUAUGCUGCUUCUUGGGGACAUGCAGUUAAGGGUGUGUUUGGACUUAGGAUGAUUAUGUUCCGUAUGUGGGUAGUAUGUAUUAUUUUGAUUUGCUGAAUUACAUGUGAUUCUCUAGACAUGGAAGAGCUUAGAGAGUUUGCCAAUAAGGAGAUGCAUUAUAUGAGUCAAAACAUGGCCUGAAUGAGGUUGGUUUCUCAUCUAAUGGUUUUCCAUUGCCAAGGUUAUAGAAAAGGUAUGAUGACUACUUUACUUCAUACAAUGAAGCAUUCUUC